UACGUAGGUGGCAAGCGUUGUCCGGAUUUAUUGGGUGUAAAGGGCGUGCAGCCGGAGAGACAAGUCAGAUGUGAAAUCCACGGGCUCAACCCGUGAACUGCAUUUGAAACUGUUUCCCUUGAGUGUCGGAGAGGUAAUCGGAAUUCCUUGUGUAGCGGUGAAAUGCGUAGAUAUAAGGAAGAACACCAGUGGCGAAGGCGGAUUACUGGACGAUAACUGACGGUGAGGCGCGAAAGCGUGGGGAGCAAACAGG
RNAcentral lists this ribosomal RNA (253 nucleotides) under uncultured bacterium. Its description in RNAcentral is "partial 16S ribosomal RNA". It matches the Rfam family "Bacterial small subunit ribosomal RNA", at positions 524 to 776 of the family's 1533-position model. The record is from RNAcentral.